RNAcentral lists this ribosomal RNA (468 nucleotides) under uncultured bacterium. RNAcentral describes it as "partial 16S ribosomal RNA". It matches the Rfam family "Bacterial small subunit ribosomal RNA", at positions 28 to 507 of the family's 1533-position model. The record is from RNAcentral.
GACGAACGCUGGCGGCGUGCUUAACACAUGCAAGUCGAACGGAAAGGCCCUGCUUUUGUGGGGUGCUCGAGUGGCGAACGGGUGAGUAACACGUGAGUAACCUGCCCUUGACUUUGGGAUAACUUCAGGAACCUGGGGCUAAUACCGGAUAGGAGCUCCUGCUGCAUGGUGGGGGUGGGAAAGUUUCGGCGGUUGGGGAUGGACUCGCGGCUUAUCAGCUUGUUGGUGGGGUAGUGGCUUACCAAGGCUUUGACGGGUAGCCGGCCUGAGAGGGUGACCGGCCACAUUGGGACUGAGAUACGGCCCAGACUCCUACGGGAGGCAGCAGUGGGGAAUAUUGCACAAUGGGCGGAAGCCUGAUGCAGCAACGCCGCGUGCGGGAUGACGGCCUUCGGGUUGUAAACCGCUUUCGCCUGUGACGAAGCGUGAGUGACGGUAAUGGGUAAAGAAGCACCGGCUAACUACGUG